GCGAAAACUUUACAAUGCGGGAAACCGUGAUAAGGGAACUCCGAGUGCCCGUAAAAUCGGGCUGUCCAUCUGUUUAAAUAACAGGUGAAGAAAGGGCCGGGCAAGACCGGUGCCAGCCGCCGCGGUAAUACCGGCGGCUCGAGUGGUGGCCACUAUUACUGGGCUUAAAGCGUUCGUAGCUGGUCUGUUAAGUCUCUGGGGAAAUCUACUGGCUUAACCAAUAGGCGUUUCAGGGAUACUGGCAGACCAGGGACCGGGAGAGGUGGGAGGUACUCCAGGGGUAGGAGUGAAAUCCUGUAAUCCUUGGGGGACCACCUGUGGCGAAGGCGUCUCACCAGAACGGCUCCGACAGUGAGGGACGAAAGCUGGGGGAGCAAACCGGAUUAGAUACCCGGGUAGUCCCAGCUGUAAACGAUGCUCGCUAGGUGUCAGGUGCGGUGCGACCGCAUCUGGUGCCGUAGUGAAAACUUGAAGCGAGUCACCUGGGAAGUACGGUCGCAAGGCUGAAACU
RNAcentral lists this ribosomal RNA (511 nucleotides) under uncultured archaeon. RNAcentral's name for it is "bacterial SSU rRNA". It matches the Rfam family "Archaeal small subunit ribosomal RNA", at positions 341 to 856 of the family's 1478-position model. The record is from RNAcentral.